Molecule: ribosomal RNA, 254 nt
Filed under: uncultured bacterium
Lineage: Bacteria
Description: partial 16S ribosomal RNA
Rfam family: Bacterial small subunit ribosomal RNA
Source: RNAcentral
UACGAAGGGGGCUAGCGUUGUUCGGAAUUACUGGGCGUAAAGCGCACGUAGGCGGAUUUGUAAGUCAGGGGUGAAAUCCCGGGGCUCAACCUCGGAACUGCCUUUGAUACUGCAAGUCUCGAGUCCGAUAGAGGUGAGUGGAAUUCCUAGUGUAGAGGUGAAAUUCGUAGAUAUUCGCAAGAACACCAGUGGCGAAGGCGGCUCACUGGCCCGAUACUGACGCUGAGGCACGAAAGCGUGGGGAGCAAACAGGG